Molecule: ribosomal RNA, 306 nt
Filed under: Triticum aestivum (bread wheat)
Lineage: Eukaryota; Viridiplantae; Streptophyta; Magnoliopsida; Poales; Poaceae
Description: partial small subunit ribosomal RNA
Source: RNAcentral
AUGGUGGGAACCAGUUUGGUGCAUUCAGACUUUUUAUUUUUCUGUUUUUACUUUUCCUUGAAUGGCUGUGAUCAUUCUGCUGUCCCUUGGAUAGUUUAUUUUAGGUUAUUUUAUCGGGUUCGGGUCAGUUUGCUUGUUUCAGUUGUUGUUUUACUUUUUAUAAUAUCUUUCUUCUACUAUACUAUUUAUCUACUUAUCAGUUUGUACUUUUGGUUACUCCCCACUUCUUUACUGGUUUCAACUUAUGGGUCAUAUAGGGCAAGUUCAGAUGUCAAGAUAACGGUUUCCUUCCUAUCAUGUUCAUGA